AUUAAACGCUGGCGGCAUGCCUUACACAUGCAAGUCGAACGGCAGCACGGGGGCAACCCUGGUGGCGAGUGGCGAACGGGUGAGUAACGCAUCGGAACGUGCCCUGGAGUGGGGGGAUAACGUAGCGAAAGUUACGCUAAUACCGCAUAUUCUGUGAGCAGGAAAGCAGGGGAUCGCAAGACCUUGCGCUCUGGGAGCGGCCGAUGUCGGAUUAGCUAGUUGGUGGGGUAAGGGCCUACCAAGGCGACGAUCCGUAGCGGGUCUGAGAGGAUGAUCCGCCACACUGGGACUGAGACACGGCCCAGACUCCUACGGGAGGCAGCAGUGGGGAUUUUGGACAAUGGGCGCAAGCCUGAUCCAGCCAUGCCGCGUGAGUGAAGAAGGCCUC
This 388-nucleotide ribosomal RNA is filed under the name uncultured bacterium. Its description in RNAcentral is "bacterial SSU rRNA". It matches the Rfam family "Bacterial small subunit ribosomal RNA", at positions 29 to 418 of the family's 1533-position model. The record is from RNAcentral.